RNAcentral lists this long non-coding RNA (235 nucleotides) under Elaeis guineensis (African oil palm). RNAcentral describes it as "long non-coding RNA (EGUI_LNC032033)". Lineage: Eukaryota; Viridiplantae; Streptophyta; Magnoliopsida; Arecales; Arecaceae. The record is from RNAcentral.
GAUCACCAAAAAAAAGAGAUGGAGGUGGAGUGAGUUGCCAUAGAGAGAAAAGAUAGGAUCAUAAAGAUCGGCAUAGAAGGAAAGGACAGCAUUAAAAGCCUCAUAGGUAGGAUUAGAAAAGGAGGAAGAGAAAGAGAAGAAGAGGUUAGGAGGAAGAAAAUGGAGAAGGUUGGAGGGCACUCAUGGAUGAGCUUAGAGAAGGAGAAAGAUGAUGAGGAGAAGUGGAUGAGGAGAA